RNAcentral lists this ribosomal RNA (1101 nucleotides) under Vibrio cyclitrophicus FF75. RNAcentral's name for it is "bacterial SSU rRNA". It matches the Rfam family "Bacterial small subunit ribosomal RNA", at positions 441 to 1533 of the family's 1533-position model. The record is from RNAcentral. Lineage: Bacteria; Pseudomonadati; Pseudomonadota; Gammaproteobacteria; Vibrionales; Vibrionaceae.
UGUGUAGUUAAUAACUGCGCAUCUUGACGUUAGCAACAGAAGAAGCACCGGCUAACUCCGUGCCAGCAGCCGCGGUAAUACGGAGGGUGCGAGCGUUAAUCGGAAUUACUGGGCGUAAAGCGCAUGCAGGUGGUUCAUUAAGUCAGAUGUGAAAGCCCGGGGCUCAACCUCGGAACUGCAUUUGAAACUGGUGAACUAGAGUACUGUAGAGGGGGGUAGAAUUUCAGGUGUAGCGGUGAAAUGCGUAGAGAUCUGAAGGAAUACCAGUGGCGAAGGCGGCCCCCUGGACAGAUACUGACACUCAGAUGCGAAAGCGUGGGGAGCAAACAGGAUUAGAUACCCUGGUAGUCCACGCCGUAAACGAUGUCUACUUGGAGGUUGUGGCCUUGAGCCGUGGCUUUCGGAGCUAACGCGUUAAGUAGACCGCCUGGGGAGUACGGUCGCAAGAUUAAAACUCAAAUGAAUUGACGGGGGCCCGCACAAGCGGUGGAGCAUGUGGUUUAAUUCGAUGCAACGCGAAGAACCUUACCUACUCUUGACAUCCAGAGAAGCCAGCGGAGACGCAGGUGUGCCUUCGGGAACUCUGAGACAGGUGCUGCAUGGCUGUCGUCAGCUCGUGUUGUGAAAUGUUGGGUUAAGUCCCGCAACGAGCGCAACCCUUAUCCUUGUUUGCCAGCGAGUCAUGUCGGGAACUCCAGGGAGACUGCCGGUGAUAAACCGGAGGAAGGUGGGGACGACGUCAAGUCAUCAUGGCCCUUACGAGUAGGGCUACACACGUGCUACAAUGGCGCAUACAGAGGGCAGCAAGCUAGCGAUAGUGAGCGAAUCCCAAAAAGUGCGUCGUAGUCCGGAUUGGAGUCUGCAACUCGACUCCAUGAAGUCGGAAUCGCUAGUAAUCGUGAAUCAGAAUGUCACGGUGAAUACGUUCCCGGGCCUUGUACACACCGCCCGUCACACCAUGGGAGUGGGCUGCAAAAGAAGUGGGUAGUUUAACCUUUCGGGGAGGACGCUCACCACUUUGUGGUUCAUGACUGGGGUGAAGUCGUAACAAGGUAGCCCUAGGGGAACCUGGGGCUGGAUCACCUCCUUAUACGAAGAUAC